GGAGGUAGUGACAAUAAAUCACAAUGCGGAACUUUUAGUUUUGCAAUUGGAUUGAGAACAAUGUCCAAAUGUUAUCGAUAAACAAUUGGAGGGCAAGUCUGGUGCCAGCAGCCGCGGUAAUUCCAGCUCCAAUAGCGUAUAUUAACGUUGUUGCAGUUAAAAAGCUCGUAGUUGAAAUGUGGGAUGAAGUAUAUAAUGAAUUUCUAAUUCAAUUGUAUAUUGAUUCCCCUCUCCAAUUUAUUAUUAUGGGUAUUAAUUUAUUUGUAAUAAGAAUUGGUCAUUUACUGUGAGAAAAUUAGAGUGUUCAAAGCAGGCAUUUGCUUGAAUAGAUUAGCAUGGAAUAAUACUAAAAGGCUUUUAUGGUCGAUUUAAUUGGUUUGUUCAUAAAAGCAAGAUUAAAAGGAACAGUUGGGGGUAUUCAUAUUCAAUAGUUAGAGGUGAAAUUCUCGGAUUUAUGGAAGAUGAACAAGUGCGAAAGCA
This 480-nucleotide ribosomal RNA is filed under the name Blastocystis sp. RNAcentral describes it as "SSU rRNA". It matches the Rfam family "Eukaryotic small subunit ribosomal RNA", at positions 460 to 953 of the family's 1831-position model. The record is from RNAcentral. Lineage: Eukaryota; Bigyra; Opalinata; Blastocystidae.